GAUGAACGCUGGCGGCGUGCUUAACACAUGCAAGUCGAACGGAAAGGCCCAACUUUGCUUGGGUACUCGAGUGGCGAACGGGUGAGUAACACGUGGGUGAUCUGCCCUGUACUUGGGGAUAAGCCUAGGAAACUGGGUCUAAUACCGGAUAGGACGGUGGUUUGGAUGGGAUUGUGGAGAGUUUUUUCGGUGUGGGAUGAGUUCGCGGCGUUUCAGCGUUUUGGUGGGGGAAUGGACUACCAAGGCGUAGGCGGGGAGCCGGCCCGCGGGGGUGUAGAGCCGCAGUGGGGCGGAAGUGCGGCCCCCAGUCCUACGGGAGGCAGCAGGGGGGAAUAUUGCACAAUGGGCGCAAGCCUGAUGCAGCAACGCCGCGUGGUGGGUGACGACCUUAGGGUUGUAGAAACCUGUCGCUGGGGACGAAGCGUUGUUGUGACGGUACCUGGAGAAGAAGCACCGGCUAACUACGUG
Molecule: ribosomal RNA, 468 nt
Filed under: uncultured bacterium
Lineage: Bacteria
Description: partial 16S ribosomal RNA
Rfam family: Bacterial small subunit ribosomal RNA
Source: RNAcentral